CCUACGGGUGGCAGCAGUGGGGAAUAUUGGACAAUGGGGGGAACCCUGAUCCAGCGACGCCGCGUGAGUGAAGAAGUAUUUCGGUAUGUAAAGCUCUAUCAGCAGGGAAGAAAGAAAUGACGGUACCUGACUAAGAAGCCCCGGCUAACUACGUGCCAGCAGCCGCGGUAAUACGUAGGGGGCAAGCGUUAUCCGGAUUUACUGGGUGUAAAGGGAGCGUAGACGGUUACGCAAGUCUGGAGUGAAAGGCGGGGGCCCAACCCCCGGACUGCUUUGGAAACUGUAUAACUUGAGUGCAGGAGAGGUAAGUGGAAUUCCUAUUGUAGCGGUGAACUGCGUCGAUAUUAGGAGGACCCCCAGUGGCGAAGGCGGCUUACUGGACUGUACCUGACGUUGAGGCUCGAAAGCGUGGGGAGCAAACAGGAUUAGAUACCCUUGUAGUC
RNAcentral lists this ribosomal RNA (443 nucleotides) under uncultured bacterium. RNAcentral's name for it is "partial 16S ribosomal RNA". It matches the Rfam family "Bacterial small subunit ribosomal RNA", at positions 338 to 795 of the family's 1533-position model. The record is from RNAcentral.